RNAcentral lists this ribosomal RNA (253 nucleotides) under uncultured bacterium. RNAcentral's name for it is "partial 16S ribosomal RNA". It matches the Rfam family "Bacterial small subunit ribosomal RNA", at positions 524 to 776 of the family's 1533-position model. The record is from RNAcentral.
UACAGAGGUCUCAAGCGUUGUUCGGAUUCAUUGGGCGUAAAGGGCGCGUAGGCGGCGUGAUAAGUCAGAUGUGAAAUCCCGGGGCUCAACCUCGGAACGGCAUUUGAAACUAUCACACUAGAGGGUAGGCGGAGAAAACGGAAUUCCACAAGUAGCGGUGAAAUGCGUAGAUAUGUGGAAGAACACCGGUGGCGAAGGCGGUUUUCUAGCUUAUUCCUGACGCUGAGGCGCGAAAGCAAGGGGAUCAAACAGG